CUGUCAUGAUUUGUCCAGUCUGCCCUCCGCUGUCAUUCAGUUGUAGUGGGCGGGGUUUCAGACAUGUGACACACAGUAACUCUGUCCGUUAAAGGGGAUGAGUUCCAAGUAAGGAGCUCUAUCCUAAAGGCAGGGCAAGACAAG
Non-coding RNA from Plectropomus leopardus (leopard coralgrouper), 144 nucleotides. RefSeq annotates it as small Cajal body-specific RNA 11. The record is from RefSeq and is a predicted model, not a curated record. Lineage: Eukaryota; Metazoa; Chordata; Actinopteri; Perciformes; Serranidae.